RNAcentral lists this ribosomal RNA (253 nucleotides) under uncultured bacterium. Its description in RNAcentral is "partial 16S ribosomal RNA". It matches the Rfam family "Bacterial small subunit ribosomal RNA", at positions 524 to 776 of the family's 1533-position model. The record is from RNAcentral.
UACGGAGGGUGCGAGCGUUAUCCGGAAUCACUGGGCUUAAAGGGUGCGUAGGCGGCUCGGUAAGUCAGUUGUGAAAGCCCCUUGCUUAACGAGGGAGGUGCGAUUGAUACUGUCGAGCUUGAAUCGGGAUGAGGCAGGCGGAAUGUGGCAUGUAGCGGUGAAAUGCAUAGAGAUGCCAGAGAACACCGAUUGCGAAGGCAGCCUGCUGGGCCUGUAUUGACGAUGAGGCACGAAAGAGUGGGGAGCAAACAGG